This 464-nucleotide ribosomal RNA is filed under the name uncultured bacterium. RNAcentral's name for it is "bacterial SSU rRNA". It matches the Rfam family "Bacterial small subunit ribosomal RNA", at positions 331 to 793 of the family's 1533-position model. The record is from RNAcentral.
CCAGACUCCUACGGGAGGCAGCAGUGAGGAAUAUUGGUCAAUGGGCGCGAGCCUGAACCAGCCAAGUAGCGUGAAGGAUGACUGCCCUACGGGUUGUAAACUUCUUUUAUAAAGGAAUAAAGUGAGGCACGUGUGCCCUUUUGUAUGUACUUUAUGAAUAAGGAUCGGCUAACUCCGUGCCAGCAGCCGCGGUAAUACGGAGGAUGCGAGCGUUAUCCGGGUUUAUUGGGUUUAAAGGGUGCGCAGGCGGCGGUGAAGGCCAGGGGGGACAGCCGGGGCCCCACCCCCGCGCCGCCGUUGAAACUGGCAGUCUCGAGUUGGAGAGAAGUAUGCGGAAUGCGCGGUGUAGCGGUGAAAUGCAUAGAUAUCGCGCAGAACUCCGAUUGCGAAGGCAGCAUGCCGGCUCCACACUGACGCUGAGGCACGAAAGCGUGGGUAUCGAACAGGAUUAGAUACCCCAGUAU